CUUUUUUAUUCUAGAGGUGCUUUUCUCCUAUUUGUGCUUUUACCCUUCUUAGAAUCUGGUGUCUGUUAAACUUCAUCUGCGGACCAAGAAGGAAGGGACAACAAAAAUAGGAAGGAUUGACUCAGACCAGGAACAGGACAUUGUCCUGCAGGGUCAGUGGAUUGAGAGAGACCACUGCACUAUCACCAGUGCCUGUGGUGUAGUUGUUCUCCGACCUGCCCGUGGGGCCCGCUGUACAGUCAAUGGCCGGGAGGUCACUGCCUCCUGCCGUCUGACUCAAGGAGCUGUCAUAACCCUGGGGAAGGCACAGAAGUUCCGAUUCAACCACCCAGCAGAGGCUGCUGUCCUGCGGCAGCGAAGGCAGGUUAGCAGGGCUGUGUUUUCUAGGUUAUUGCUGGCCUCCCUGUUUCCACUUUUUAGAUGAAAAGCCAAGCUGGGAGAGGUGGAGGUGAUGACAGCAGCCUCACUGUGCUUUCUUCCUUGUUCAAGGUUGGAGAGGCUGCUGCUGGUCGUGGCUCAUUGGAGUGGCUGGAUUUGGAUGGAGAUCUCGCUGCCUCCCGGCUGGGUCUCUCCCCUUUGCUUUGGAAGGAAAGGAGAGCGCUUGAAGAGCAAUGUGACGAGGACCAUCAGCCACCGAGGGAUGGAGAGACAUCCCACAGGGCCCAGAUUCAGCAGCAGCAGAGCUACGUAGAGGAUUUGAGGCAUCAAAUCCUAGCAGAAGAGAUUCGAGCUGAGAAGGAACUGGAAUUUGACCAAGCUUGGAUUAGCCAGCAGAUUAAAGAAAGUAGGUGUCCACCACUUAAUGUGUCUGCCUCACCUCCUUAUUC
RNAcentral lists this long non-coding RNA (827 nucleotides) under Pan troglodytes (chimpanzee). RNAcentral describes it as "long non-coding RNA NONPTRT005314". Lineage: Eukaryota; Metazoa; Chordata; Mammalia; Primates; Hominidae. The record is from RNAcentral.